This 77-nucleotide transfer RNA is filed under the name Candidatus Saccharibacteria bacterium 32-45-3. RNAcentral's name for it is "tRNA-Val". It matches the Rfam family "tRNA". Rfam says of the family: Transfer RNA (tRNA) molecules are approximately 80 nucleotides in length. Their secondary structure includes four short double-helical elements and three loops (D, anti-codon, and T loops). Further hydrogen bonds mediate the characteristic L-shaped molecular structure. tRNAs have two regions of fundamental functional importance: the anti-codon, which is responsible for specific mRNA codon recognition, and the 3' end, to which the tRNAs corresponding amino acid is attached (by aminoacyl-tRNA synthetases). tRNAs cope with the degeneracy of the genetic code in two manners: having more than one tRNA (with a specific anti-codon) for a particular amino acid; and 'wobble' base-pairing, i.e. permitting non-standard base-pairing at the 3rd anti-codon position. The record is from RNAcentral. Lineage: Bacteria; Candidatus Saccharimonadota.
GGGGAAUUAGCUCAGUUGGCUAGAGCGCACGAUUCACAUUCGUGAGGUCACUGGUUCGAGCCCAGUACUCCCCACCA